UUUCCGUAGGUGAACCUGCGGAAGGAUCAUUAUCGAAUUUCGAGGGGAAGGAAGAUGAGGAGUGGAGGCUGUCGCUGGCUUUCCCGCCUGGGAAGCAUGUGCACGCCUUGCUUUUCGUUGACCUUUCUCUUACUCUCACACCUGUGCACCCAUUGUAGGUCCUCGAAAGAGGAUCUAUGUUUUUAUCAUCACACGCAUCGUAUGUCCAUAGAAUGUAACAUGAUCGUCGAUCGACCUCGCGGUCGGGUGGCGGUCUAAAUAAAUAAAUACAACUUUCAGCAACGGAUCUCUUGGCUCUC
This 299-nucleotide unclassified non-coding RNA is filed under the name plant metagenome. Its description in RNAcentral is "partial contains small subunit ribosomal RNA, internal transcribed spacer 1, and 5.8S ribosomal RNA". The record is from RNAcentral.